This 1022-nucleotide long non-coding RNA is filed under the name Homo sapiens (human). Its description in RNAcentral is "non-protein coding lnc-KIAA0513-7:1". The record is from RNAcentral. Lineage: Eukaryota; Metazoa; Chordata; Mammalia; Primates; Hominidae.
GCAGUUCCGGCCGCGCAGCUCUCGCGGAGAGGGGCGCUCGAGGCGGUUUGAGGGGACCCGGAGGCUCUUACAAACUGGCAGUUCAUUGAGAAAAGGCAGCUUUUAGUCACAGCCCCUCUCGCUAAGACAGAGAUGCCGCCAAACUGAAGUCCGGAGGAGAAAGGAUAGGGGCUACGGGCUGCAGCAGGGUCCAAGCCACGCCGUUAGGCUGCGGAACCGGGUUGGGAAUGCCCUUAGCGGAGUGUGUACCCGCGCCCGCGGCGGUGUCUCAGAGGCAGCUCCAGUGGCCUGUACUAUAUGCGGGGAUGUGACCGAAGGAAAUGGGAAAGUAAGGGAGCGGGAGUGGAAAUGGCUGAGCCAGAAAGCACUUGGGAAAAGAGGAAAGCGCCCUGAACUGGGGAUUGGAGGCCUGACUCCUGAGGUCCGCGGAGCCCCCGGCCUCCUCCUUGAGGGACUUGGACACUAGAGCACCGCCACUGUCCCUUCCAUAUAGGAAGCCCUAAGUGUUUGAAAGUAGGAACAUGUAUUUUAAGGCCGGGCGCGGUGGCUCACGCCUGUAACUCCAGCACUUUGGGAAGCCAAGGCAGGCUGAUCACUUGAGGUCAGGAGUUCGAGACCAGCCUGAACAACAAUGGUGAAAUUCCGUUUCUAUUAAAAACACAUAAAUUAGCCGGAUGUAGUGGUGCACGCCUGUAAUCCCAGCAGCUACUCGAGAGGCUGAGGCAGGAGAAUCAUGAACCCAGGAGGCGAAGGUUGCAGUGAGCUGAGAUCAAGCCACUGCACUCCAGCCUGGGCGACAGAGUGAACAGUCUCAAAAAAAAAAAAAAAGCAUAUCUUUUUUUUAAAAUAAAAUUAUGACUCUCACACAAAUAUAAAAUGAACAUAUGUCAAAGAUACCAUUUAACUCAUUAAUGAUGGUAUAUAUACAAUGCUCCACUAGAGCUCUAGAUAGCUUAAAGACAAAAGUAAGACCCCAUAAGACGAGAUAACCCAGAAGGGUAUGCCAGACAAUACCUACUUGU